AGAGUUUGAUCCUGGCUCAGGAUGAACGCUGGCGGCGUGCUUAACACAUGCAAGUCGAACGAGCCUUCGGGUUAGUGGCGGACGGGUGAGUAACGCGUGAGAAUCUGCCCUCAGGAGGGGGAUAACAGUUGGAAACGACUGCUAAUACCCCAUAUGCCGAGAGGUGAAAUGAAUUUCGCCUGGGGAUGAGCUCGCGUCUGAUUAGCUUGUUGGUGGGGUAAUAGCCUACCAAGGCUUCGAUCAGUAGCUGGUCUGAGAGGACGAUCAGCCACACUGGGACUGAGACACGGCCCAGACUCCUACGGGAGGCAGCAGUGGGGAAUUUUCCGCAAUGGGCGAAAGCCUGACGGAGCAACGCCGCGUGAGGGAUGGAGGCCUUUGGGCUGUAAACCUCUUUUCUCAAGGAAGAAGAUCUGACGGUACUUGAGGAAUAAGCCACGGCUAAUUCCGUGCCAGCAGCCGCGGUAAUACGGGAGUGGCAAGCGUUAUCCGGAAUUAUUGGGCGUAAAGCGUCCGCAGGCGGCCGUUUAAGUCUGUUGUUAAAUCGUGGAGCUCAACUCCAUCACGGCAAUGGAAACUGUUCGGCUUGAGUAUGGUAGGGGCAGAGGGAAUUUCCGGUGUAGCGGUGAAAUGCGUAGAUAUCGGGAAGAACACCAGUGGCGAAAGCGCUCUGCUGGGCCAUUACUGACGCUCAUGGACGAAAGCCAGGGGAGCUAAAGGGAUUAGAUACCCCUGUAGUCCUGGCCGUAAACGAUGAACACUAGAUGUUGGGGGAAUCGACCCCCUCGGUGUCGUAGCUAACGCGUUAAGUGUUCCGCCUGGGGAGUACGCACGCAAGUGUGAAACUCAAAGGAAUUGACGGGGGCCCGCACAAGCGGUGGAGUAUGUGGUUUAAUUCGAUGCAACGCGAAGAACCUUACCAAGGCUUGACAUCCUGCGAAUCUCUAAGAAAUUAGAGAGUGCCUUCGGGAACGCAGUGACAGGUGGUGCAUGGCUGUCGUCAGCUCGUGUCGUGAGAUGUUGGGUUAAGUCCCGCAACGAGCGCAACCCACGUUUUUAGUUGCCAGCAUUCAGUUGGGCACUCUAGAAAGACUGCCGGUGACAAACCGGAGGAAGGUGUGGACGACGUCAAGUCAUCAUGCCCCUUACGCCUUGGGCUACACACGUACUACAAUGCUGCGGACAAAGAGUAGCGAUCUUGCGAAAGUUAGCUAAUCUCAUAAACCGUGGCUCAGUUCAGAUCGUAGGCUGCAACUCGCCUACGUGAAGGAGGAAUCGCUAGUAAUCGCAGGUCAGCAUACUGCGGUGAAUACGUUCCCGGGCCUUGUACACACCGCCCGUCACACCAUGGAAGUUGGCCAUGCCCGAAGUCGUUACUCUAACCUUUUGGAAGAGGGCGCCGAAGGCAGGGCUAAUGACUGGGGUGAAGUCGUAACAAGGUAACC
RNAcentral lists this ribosomal RNA (1445 nucleotides) under uncultured bacterium. RNAcentral's name for it is "bacterial SSU rRNA". It matches the Rfam family "Bacterial small subunit ribosomal RNA". The record is from RNAcentral.